AUGCGAGUCGAGAAGGUUCGGCCCUCGGCGUACUGCUCAGUAACACGUGGAUAACCUACCCUGGGAUGGGGGAUAAUCUCGGAAAACUGAGGAUAAUACCCCAUAGGUCUGGGAGGCUGGAAUGCGCCCAGACUAAAAACUCCGGUGUCCCAGGAUGGGUCUGCGGCCUAUCAGGUUGUAGUGGGUGUAAAGGACCCACUAGCCGACGACGGGUACGGGCCAUGGGAGUGGUAGCCCGGAGAUGGAUUCUGAGACACGAAUCCAGGCCCUACGGGGCGCAGCAGGCGCGAAAACUUCGCAAUGCGCGAAAGCGCGACGAGGGGAUUCCAAGUGCAUGCACUCAGUGCAUGCUGUUUUCCAGUGUAAACAGCUGGGAGAGUAAGGGCUGGGUAAGACUGGUGCCAGCCGCCGCGGUAAUACCAGCGGCCCUAGUGGUGAUCGUUAUUAUUGGGCCUAAAAGCGUCCGUAGCCGGCUCGGUAAAUCUCUGG
Molecule: ribosomal RNA, 489 nt
Filed under: uncultured archaeon
Lineage: Archaea
Description: bacterial SSU rRNA
Rfam family: Archaeal small subunit ribosomal RNA
Source: RNAcentral